This is a non-coding RNA of Pelobates cultripes (western spadefoot toad), 481 nucleotides long. The record is from the annotation of a GenBank genome assembly. NCBI's taxonomy places the organism in Eukaryota, Metazoa, Chordata, Amphibia, Anura, Pelobatidae.
CUUCUCUCCACUUCCAAAAGGUGGGUUUAAGACCAUAGGCGACAUUGAUCAAGUGGGAAGAUGUUCUAUACCAGGGAUAGGCAACCUUCGGCACUCCAUAUGUUUUGGACUAGAUCCCCCAUAAUGCUCUUACACCCGUAAUGCUGGCAAAGCAUCAUGGGAGGUGAGUGCCGAUGGUUGCCUAUGCCUGUUCUUUACAAUCGUAUGGGAAACGGAUUGAGAUGGAACAGGUAGGUUUCUUCAUCAAAUGAAAGUACGAUGUCUGCUAUUUGGAAAACAACGGUGUGAACAGUGUUCCAGAAUGAUCUGAUCUCCAGACACCACCACCAAAUAUGGAUGAGAGUGUCCAGCGCUUUCCCACAGCACCAGCACUCUGGUCUGCAGUUGAGUACAUAUGUUUUAGCUUCUCUUGUGUGUGGUAUCAAUAAGUGAGUAAUUUAUAACCUGAUUCAUGGUAGUGGGUGCUGAAAGAGGACUUAUG